RNAcentral lists this ribosomal RNA (468 nucleotides) under uncultured bacterium. RNAcentral's name for it is "partial 16S ribosomal RNA". It matches the Rfam family "Bacterial small subunit ribosomal RNA", at positions 28 to 507 of the family's 1533-position model. The record is from RNAcentral.
GACGAACGCUGGCGGCGUGCUUAACACAUGCAAGUCGAACGGAAAGGCCCUGCUUUGGUGGGGUGCUCGAGGUGCGAACGGGGGAGUAACACGUGAGUAACCUGCCCUUGACUUUGGGAUAACUUCAUGAAACUGGGGCUAAUAGCGGAUAGGAUUUCCUGCUUCAUGGUGGGGGCGGGAAAGUUUCGGUGGUUGGGGAUGGACUCGCGGCUUAUCGGGUUGUUGGUGGGGUAGUGGCUGACCAAGGCUUUGCGGGGUAGCCGGGCUGAGAGGGUGACAGGACAAGCUGGGAUUGAGCUGCGGCACGGCCUCCACCCGGACGCAGCAGAGGGGAAUGUUGCACAAUGGGAUGGAGCCUGACGUAGUCCCGCAGUGUCGGGGGUGACGGCAUUGGGGUUGUAAACCGAUUUCGUCUGUCACGAAGCGAGAGUGACGGUAACGGGUAAAGAAGCACCGGCUAACUACGUG